GGAGAGUUGGCAGAGCGGUUGAAUGCGGCAGUCUUGAAAACUGUUGUGGGUGUAAACCCACCGUGGGUUCGAAUCCCUCACUCUCCG
Molecule: transfer RNA, 87 nt
Filed under: Candidatus Ichthyocystis hellenicum
Lineage: Bacteria; Pseudomonadati; Pseudomonadota; Betaproteobacteria; Burkholderiales
Description: bacterium 2013Arg42i tRNA
Rfam family: tRNA
About the family: Transfer RNA (tRNA) molecules are approximately 80 nucleotides in length. Their secondary structure includes four short double-helical elements and three loops (D, anti-codon, and T loops).
Source: Rfam by way of RNAcentral